GGACGAACGCUGGCGGCGUGCUUAACACAUGCAAGUCGAACGGAAAGGCCUCUUUCGGGGGGUACUCGAGUGGCGAACGGGUGAGUAACACGUGAGUAACCUGCCCUUGACUUUGGGAUAACUUCAGGAAACUGGGGCUAAUACCGGAUAGGAGCUCCUGCUGCAUGGUGGGGGUUGGAAAGUUUCGGCGGUUGGGGAUGGACUCGCGGCUUAUCAGCUUGUUGGUGGGGUAGUGGCUUACCAAGGCUUUGACGGGUAGCCGGCCUGAGAGGGUGACCGGCCACAUUGGGACUGAGAUACGGCCCAGACUCCUACGGGAGGCAGCAGUGGGGAAUAUUGCACAAUGGGUGGAAGCCUGAUGCAGCAACGCCGUGUGCGGGAUGACGGCCUUCGGGUUGUAAACCGCUUUCGCUCAUGACGAAGCUUUGUGUGACGGUAGUGGGUAAAGAAGCACCGGCUAACUACGUG
Molecule: ribosomal RNA, 468 nt
Filed under: uncultured bacterium
Lineage: Bacteria
Description: partial 16S ribosomal RNA
Rfam family: Bacterial small subunit ribosomal RNA
Source: RNAcentral